GCCUUCGUAAUGUAAUGGUCAGCACGCUUGACGCGUAUUCGAGAGGUCCAGGGUUCGAGUCCCUGCGAGUGCA
RNAcentral lists this transfer RNA (73 nucleotides) under Stegodyphus mimosarum. It matches the Rfam family "tRNA". Rfam says of the family: Transfer RNA (tRNA) molecules are approximately 80 nucleotides in length. Lineage: Eukaryota; Metazoa; Arthropoda; Arachnida; Araneae; Eresidae. The record is from Rfam by way of RNAcentral.